RNAcentral lists this long non-coding RNA (1320 nucleotides) under Elaeis guineensis (African oil palm). Its description in RNAcentral is "long non-coding RNA (EGUI_LNC037807)". The record is from RNAcentral. Lineage: Eukaryota; Viridiplantae; Streptophyta; Magnoliopsida; Arecales; Arecaceae.
CGCCUCUGCGUCCGCGACGGCCUUCCGCUCAAGCCCCAGUUGGAUUUUUACUUGUUGCAGCUUGGCUGUCUUCUCUCCAAGGAAGACGGAAAUCCCGUCGACAGUGCCUCUCAGGGCUUGGAGCUCCUCGUUAUCUUGGGCGUUGGCAAGCUGCGCCCUAGUAACCAACUGCCUCUGGAGACGAACCACCUCAUCCGCCGAUCGAUGGAAUCUCCCCUUGUACUCCUCUACCUGUCGGCGCCAGCUGGCCCGCUGCACAUCGUGGCUCAUCUCGGCAUCUUGAAGCUACUUCUGGAGGUCGGAAACUUUUUGUGACCAUAUCUGCUCAUCCCGCGCUGUGAGCCGGGAUGGGUUUCCUUCCAGCUGGCCGAUCCUCCUCUUGGCAGCCGACAGCUCCACUUUAAGGGCGCUGAUCCUGGCUUCUUGAGCCCAAGUUUGGUCGCUGGCGCUCUUCGUGCAUUCUUCGAGCUCCUUCGCAAAGUUCGCCUUCCUCCGACUGUAGUCCAUGAUUGCCUUCACUUGGAGACUCCUGAAGUGGGCGGCCUCAGCGGCGGCCUCGGAAUAGCAUUUUUUCGCCUGGCGAAGCUCGCCCUCUGACUUUUUCAACUUCUUCGUCAAGUGGAGGACCUUCUUUUUGAGCCGCUGGAUAGUCGACUUCAGCGGGACCCCCAGGGGCAAGGGGAGUGCUUCGGUGGGACGCUGCCAUCGGAAAAUGCAAACAUCAAAAACCAGCUCAUUACGAGAAGAAAGGCAGAAAAGAAGGAGCGGGGGAAGGAAAGGCCAUCCACAACAAGAAAUUCAACUUCAUUGAUUAAUUUUGAAGACAAGCGGAAAGGAAAUAUGGCAACAAAAGAAAGAUACAAGAUCGGAGGUCUCAGACCUCGGAGGCUGGGGGUGGAGAGCCCGGCGCGGGGGGUGCGACUGCGGCGGCGGCGGACGAAGGGGCGGCCUCGUCGUCAGACUCCUCCAGAAAGCCAAAUUCAAGAUCGGGGUAUCUGCUGGCCACCCUCUCUCGGCAGAGCUCGAACCCCUUAGUGAACGCCUCCAGGCCAAACUGGACGUUCAGCUCCCUCAUCUCCGUGGAGGUCUUGAACUCCUCCACCGCAAGGGUCCUGGCCUCCGAAACCAGAACCGGAGUUUGCUCGGCCAGAUGGGCGACCUCGGCCUCCGCCUUCCUUGCCGACUCCUCCAGGCUUCGCCUCUCCUCCUCCCGGACUCGUCUUUCCUCUUCCCGAUCUUGUCUCUCUCUCUCCAGGGCCUCCCGGAGGGUGGCCACUUCGGCCGUCUUCGCUUGAAGACGAGCAACCUCGUCUUGGCAAC